UACGAAGGGUGCAAGCGUUAAUCGGAAUUACUGGGCGUAAAGCGUGCGCAGGCGGUUUUGUAAGACAGGCGUGAAAUCCCCGGGCUCAACCUGGGAAUGGCGCUUGUGACUGCAAAGCUGGAGUGCGGCAGAGGGGGAUGGAAUUCCACGUGUAGCAGUGAAAUGCGUAGAUAUGUGGAGGAACACCGAUGGCGAAGGCAGCCCCCUGGGCCUGUACUGACGCUCAUGCACGAAAGCGUGGGGAGCAAACAGG
This 253-nucleotide ribosomal RNA is filed under the name uncultured bacterium. Its description in RNAcentral is "partial 16S ribosomal RNA". It matches the Rfam family "Bacterial small subunit ribosomal RNA", at positions 524 to 776 of the family's 1533-position model. The record is from RNAcentral.